GGGUCAGGCGGGCCCAGCCGAGGUGCCCCCGAGAAGCACCCCCCAGGCCCAGCCACCGUGGGUCAGAGGAGUCAUCUGGAAAGAGGGGAGAGAAGCAGYGUGCGUUGUGGUUGUGGAUCAGUCCCGCUCGGCUCUCCCUGAAGUAGUUUGAUUGGAGAUGAAGCAUGAGAAGGCCGCAAAGUGGUGUGAGCAGUUCCAGAUGUCRACUUUCACUAGGAGCAGUGGAUGCUGCGGUGAAAGGGUACAGGGUUUUCUGAAGAAACAGGUGAUAUAGUCCUGAAGCAGACUGACCACUUUGAUGGCAAUAAAGACAAACUAAUACUUCUUCAGGGCCUUCUAAAACCAUCUCAGGCGCAGAACAAAUCAAAAUCUCAUAUUAAGAUUUUUUUUCAUUGUGGGGAAUCAUGUUGGUUAUUGCAGAUACUACUUAUGCAACAUUUAAAAAAAAUGGCACUGUACUUUACUCUGAGCAUCCYUAUCUUUAAAACAAGCAGGGAAUAAAAUCAUUAGAGCAACUAUCUCUGGUUCUUAAGUGAUUCAGAUAUAUUUUAUCUCCUUUAUGUACUAAUCAGUGGCUUGUUUUCUCAGCACUUCUCUCACUGGUCAGUAAUAGUUUUCUUAUCAUUACUCUAUCUGAUAAUCUGAUUUUCUUGGUUCCGAUUAGAAAUAAUUCCUUCUUUGUUCUUUUCUGCAUGACUGUGUAUUCCCAGAAAUUCUGAGAAAAUGAUUUUUUUUCCUUAUUAGUCAUACUGUUUCAACAAAUGUACUUACUUUCCUCGCUUAUAUGUAUAAGAACUAUUGUGUUUCUGUAGAUUGCGCAGUUGGGCUUAAUCAGCAGGAAGUCGGUGAGGUCAAAAUGAAAAUAUAUCUGUUAGGUUUAAGGAUUAAAGAUGAUAUGGAGAAAUAACAUUGCUUACAAAGAGCAGACUUCAGAGUCGCCAAUGUGGUACUUUUCAUGAACGUUAUAGUCACUUAAACACCGUUUAUACUGAAAAAAAUCCAAGUCACAAUUUAAAGCUGUCAUCUUAACAACAGCUUUGAUCCUAUAUUAAGCUUGAGUAACAGAGUUUUAACUAUUUAAGGAACAACAACAACAACAAAAAAAAACAGGAUAUGAAGAACAGCAGAGGAACACUAUUCAAUAAUUUUCAGAAAAUUCCAGGCUGACAGACUACAAGGAGAAAGCUCUUUAAUUUUCAUUACUGUGAAAUUUAUAUGAACUUGUGUAAUCUGGAUAAUCUCCAUUGAUAUGAGCUGAAUGCUAGAGAAUUGCAUCAAGUAAUAAAUUAUUAAUUAACUGACA
RNAcentral lists this long non-coding RNA (1303 nucleotides) under Dromaius novaehollandiae (emu). Its description in RNAcentral is "lncRNA (ENSDNVG00000003312.1)". Lineage: Eukaryota; Metazoa; Chordata; Aves; Casuariiformes; Dromaiidae. The record is from RNAcentral.